AAAGCUUGCUUUUCUUGAGGUUAGCGGCGGACGGGUGAGUAACACGUGGGCAACCUACCUGUAAGACUGGGAUAACUUACGGAAACGUGAGCUAAUACCGGAUAGUUUCACUUCUCGCAUGAGAAGUGAAGGAAAGAUGGCUUUUAGCUAUCACUUACAGAUGGGCCCGCGGCGCAUUAGCUAGUUGGUGGGGUAAAGGCCUACCAAGGCNACGAUGCGUAGCCGACCUGAGAGGGUGAUCGGCCACACUGGGACUGAGACACGGCCCAGACUCCUACGGGAGGCAGCAGUAGGGAAUCUUCCGCAAUGGACGAAAGUCUGACGGAGCAACGCCGCGUGAGCGAAGAAGGUCUUCGGAUCGUAAAGCUCUGUUGUUAGGGAAGAACAAGUACCGGAGUAACUGACGGUACCUUGACGGUACCUAACCAGAAAGCCACGGCUAACUACGUGCCAGCAGCCGCGGUAAUACGUAGGUGGCAAGCGUUGUCCGGAAUCAUUGGGCGUAAAGCGCGCGCAGGCGGUCCUUUAAGUCUGAUGUGAAAUCUUGCGGCUCAACCGUAAGCGGUCAUUGGAAACUGGGGGACUUGAGUGCAGGAGAGGAAAGCGGAAUUCCAUGUGUAGCGGUGAAAUGCGUAGAGAUAUGGAGGAACACCAGUGGCGAAGGCGGCUUUCUGGCCUGUAACUGACGCUGA
Molecule: ribosomal RNA, 692 nt
Filed under: Pallidibacillus thermolactis subsp. kokeshiiformis
Lineage: Bacteria; Bacillati; Bacillota; Bacilli; Caryophanales; Bacillaceae
Description: bacterial SSU rRNA
Rfam family: Bacterial small subunit ribosomal RNA
Source: RNAcentral